GUAUUUCUUCACCUAUCUUCCACAGACAUCCUAUUUCUUCUUCUACCUUUUCCCUUUUUUUGUCGUCAAUAAAGAGGGUUCCUACUAUAUGUAUAUUCCAAUAAUCAAAGUCUAUUGAAGACUUAUUUACUGAGGAUUCAUCAAUUCUUAGUGCAUAGCUAAGGGCUCAACAUAGAUAAGGUUAAGGGGUUUAGCUUCGGAUAAGGUAGGUUCAGGUUCAAGAGAUGAAGGUAUGAUUUUUAAGAGAUGCAGUUUUGAGGGGUGGCUUAAUUGUAGACUUAACUACCCUUGUAGACUUUUUUCUUUUGAAAAUUUUAAUCUUAGUUGCCAUUGUCUUUUUUCCUCUACUUGAAGGUUUUGCAGGCGUUGAUUCUAAUGCCUCUAUUUUCCUAUUGUCUUGAGCUUUCUCUGUUCCAGUACCCUUUUCCUUUUCUAUUUCAAUUUCAAUCUCUAAAUCUGCUCUUUCAGCUGCUGUUUUCUUUGCAGUAGCUUCUACUAUUGUAACUUCUUCCCUCUACCAGUUCGUUAAUAAAGUCAAAAAGAGGAUUUCUUCAGAUGAGCUUACGGUUUCUACUGUUGUUGCUUUUGUAGAUUCAGAGGCGAUGUCAUCUUUCUCUCUUUAUUAUGCCUUCGCUUCAUUUUCUUCUUGUUCAGCUUCAGUCACUUUUUCCUGUUUAGCCUCACUUUUCUUUUCUUGCUCUAUUUCCGUAUUAAUGUCUUUUUCAACAUCAACUUCAACUUCAACUUCAUUAGCUAUCUUAUCACCUUGCUUCUCAU
Molecule: long non-coding RNA, 777 nt
Filed under: Theobroma cacao (cacao)
Lineage: Eukaryota; Viridiplantae; Streptophyta; Magnoliopsida; Malvales; Malvaceae
Description: long non-coding RNA (TCAC_LNC002893)
Source: RNAcentral